This 468-nucleotide ribosomal RNA is filed under the name uncultured bacterium. RNAcentral describes it as "partial 16S ribosomal RNA". It matches the Rfam family "Bacterial small subunit ribosomal RNA", at positions 28 to 507 of the family's 1533-position model. The record is from RNAcentral.
GACGAACGCUGGCGGCGUGCUUAACACAUGCAAGUCGAACGGAAAGGCCCUGCUUUUGUGGGGUGCUCGAGUGGCGAACGGGUGAGUAAAACGUGAGUAACCUGCCCUUGACUUUGGGAUAACUUCAGGAAACUGGGGCUAAUACCGGAUAGGAGCUCCUGCUGCAUGGUGGGGGUUGGAAAGUUUCGGCGGUUGGGGCUGGACUCGCGGCUUAUCAGCUUGUUGGGGGGGUAGUGGCUUACCAAGGCUUUGAAGGGUAGCCGGCCUGGGAGGGUGACCGGCCACAUGGGGACUGAGAGACGGCCCAGUCUGCUACGGGAGGCAGCAGUGGGGAAUAUUGCACAAUGGGCGGAAGCCUGAUGCAGCAACCCCGCGUGCGGGAUGACGGCCUUCGGGUUGUAAACCGCUUUCGCCUGUGACGAAGCGUGAGUGACGGUAAUGGGUAAAGAAGCACCGGCUAACUACGUG